This 486-nucleotide long non-coding RNA is filed under the name Homo sapiens (human). Its description in RNAcentral is "HSALNT0273279". Lineage: Eukaryota; Metazoa; Chordata; Mammalia; Primates; Hominidae. The record is from RNAcentral.
AUUUACCUAAGUCAGUUGAACCCUAACAGGGCCAUGCACGUGAUUAAUCAGCUCUCAGCAUGAGUUAUCCACAUACCCAAAUCCCAGCUUCCAAUAAAGCUGCUAGCAAGGAAUGGGUCACUCAGGCUAACUCCAUCUUCUGCAUCAGCGCCUUCUUCUAGAGAACUCCCAGAGGCCUUCCUGACCCUCAGCGCUACAGCAGAUUGGGCGCAGAGUGGCUGUUCAGAGCUCCAGGCUCAACCUCCCACAGCGAUCCUGUUCCCCGCAGCCCGCAGAGCCUCCCACACCUGAAGCGCACGUGGGCUGCCUGCUGGGUCAGCACUUGCUGCGUAUGCCGGGCAGCCUGAGCACCAAGGAGGGGAACGCAGAGCCUCAGGCCGGCAGCGAAGCACACAGCUCUCCACGAUAGCCUGUUCUGAAUCCAGUCUGCGGUCUUCCUCCUAGUGCUUUUUCCUCCUGCUUCCCUGUCCCUGGAAUAAGCUACCU